UACGUAGGGGGCAAGCGUUGUCCGGAUUUAUUGGGCGUAAAGCGCCCGCAGGUGGUUCGUUGCGUCGUGCGUGAAAGACCCCGGCUCAACUGGGGGAUGUCGUGCGAUACGGGCGGACUGGAGGCCAGUAGGGGGAUGCGGAAUUCCGGGUGUAGUGGUGGAAUGCGUAGAGAUCCGGAGGAACACCAGCGGCGAAGGCGGCAUCCUGGACUGGUCCUGACACUCAGGAGCGAAAGCGUGGGGAGCGAUCCGG
This 253-nucleotide ribosomal RNA is filed under the name uncultured bacterium. RNAcentral describes it as "partial 16S ribosomal RNA". It matches the Rfam family "Bacterial small subunit ribosomal RNA", at positions 524 to 776 of the family's 1533-position model. The record is from RNAcentral.